Molecule: long non-coding RNA, 246 nt
Filed under: Homo sapiens (human)
Lineage: Eukaryota; Metazoa; Chordata; Mammalia; Primates; Hominidae
Description: HSALNT0101433
Source: RNAcentral
CAAUGAAUGAAUGAGUAAACAAGCCAGAAUAAUCGGACCCAGAAAUAUGCUGAAGGGAUAUAAAUGCCUAGCAAGAAGAAGGAACCAGCCCAGGAAGCCAGCCCAUUAUCCAGAGGAACCAACCAAGGAAGCCAGCCUGCUCUCUAGAAGCUAGACUUGUAGGAAGCCAGACCACUGUCUCUAGCAACUGAUCCAGGAAGACAGAAAAGAACACCUCAAUAACAGGACCAAAGUGGCCAGGACUUG